GAGACUUUUGCUGUCAGAUUCCACAGAAGCCACACCCAGCUGCUUCUCUUUUAUGUACUUCAAAGCUUUGAGCACUACUAGGGUUUCUAGUUGAAAGACCGAUGCUGCCCAAACUAGUUUGGUGAAGCCAUCCACAAGGUUGCUGAAGGAGUCCCGGAUGAUGCAGGCGACAGCUCCUUCCGUCGAACCCUUGCAGAUCGACCUCGACAUUGAGCUUCAAAGAUCCUGCUACCAGAGCUAUCCAGGUUGGAGAUGUCUCAACAUCCUCUUCCUUUCCUGGUUGAAGAUGCAUAAAACCCCAUUUUUUGUAGCUAUUUUGCUGAAAUUGGGCCAGAUCUACCACUUUGCAAGCAUCCGGUUUAGUACCUCGAAAGAUGUAGUUGUUGCGCUCCUUCCAUACCUGCCAUAAGAUGUUCGCGAUCGUUUCCAAGGACGGGAGGUUGAUUUCCGAGUGACUCCAUACCUGUGCAGUCCAGGGACAGAGAAGAUGAAUAUGUUCGGCCGUUUCCAUCUUAUCUCGCAAAGGUCACAUACCAAAUUAGAUUCAGCACUACUCACCAAUAGGGGAGAACUAUGGUUUGACCCGACAGUUGGGAGGGCAUAUGCUUAUGCUUCCGGGAGCAUGAGCCUCCAAUCUAGAGAGUAAAACACCAUAUACAGUUUCUCAUUUACCAUAUUAGCCCCUUCUCUGUUGUUUGACCAGGUAAAAGCACACCAUUUACAAUCUAUUUCCAUUAACAAACAAGCAUGUAUAUAGCUUUGGAAUGCCUACAUUCUAUAAUGUUUUGCCAUCCUUGUGCCCACCUUAUCCCAAUAAUAAAGCACUUUAUUGAAAUCCCCCAAACAAACCCAUGGUAGGCUAUUAGUUAGAUUAAUCUAUCUCAUUUUAUCCUGUAACUAUAAUCUUCCCCCAGAUAGAUUUGGAGCAUGCACACAAAUAACCCACAUUUUGAUUCGACUAUCAUGAUCUUCACAUAUCAAAUUUAUCAUUUCUUGUGAGCUAGAUUCCACCUCUACAUCAACUUCAUCAUUCCAUAUCACCGCUAGCCCCCCUACAAUUCCUAUCGGAUUCACCACAAAGCUGUAUUUAAAAUUCAACUGCCUUCUAAUAUGAGAAAUCACAUUUUCUUUGUUUUUUGUUUCCAUUAACAGAACCAAAUCGGGCCUUUCAUGAGCCACAAUGGCUCUCAAAUUUUGGACUGUCAAUGGUGUGCCUAACCCCUAACAGUUCCAAUAUAUAACCCUCAUUUGUAAACCGGUGGCUUAUUCGGGCUUUCCACCAAAGCUCAUCACAUAGUUCCCUCUGAAAGACUAAUAGAAGUAUCCUGCAGUUUUGCUUCAUCAAAGUCCGCCAACUCUAGAGGAAUAGAGUUAUAUGGGGUGUACCUAUUUAAUUUCUUUGCUUGUGAACUUUUUAAAAUCCCGCUUUCCUUCUUUGAUCCUUCUUUUUAUUUUUUUGUCUAGGACAAUGAUUUAUCAGCCGGACAGAAGCUGUUGUUCUGGCUCUUCAAUGUUCAUUAUACCUUUUCCCUUUUCCUUGUGCUGUUUCACUUGGUGAUCAAGUAUAAUAAUAUC
Eucalyptus grandis is the source of this 1575-nucleotide long non-coding RNA. RefSeq lists it as uncharacterized. The record is from RefSeq and is a predicted model, not a curated record. The transcript has 3 exons. NCBI's taxonomy places the organism in Eukaryota, Viridiplantae, Streptophyta, Magnoliopsida, Myrtales, Myrtaceae.